GGGGGAUAUUGCGCAAUGGAGGAAACUCUGACGCAGCAACGCCGCGUGAAGGAAGAAGGCCUUCGGGUUGUAAACUUUUGUCUUUGGGGAAGAUAAUGACGGUACCCAAGGAGGAAGCCACGGCUAACUACGUGCCAGCAGCCGCGGUAAUACGUAGGUGGCGAGCGUUGUCCGGAAUUACUGGGUGUAAAGGGUGCGUAGGCGGGUAAUCAAGUCAGAUGUGAAAUACCGAGGCUCAACUUCGGGGCUGCAUUUGAAACUGAAUAUCUUGAGUGAAGUAGAGGCAAGCGGAAUUCCCAGUGUAGCGGUGAAAUGCGUAGAUAUUGGGAGGAACACCAGUGGCGAAGGCGGCUUGCUGGGCUUUAACUGACGCUGAGGCACGAAAGCAUGGGGAGCAAAC
RNAcentral lists this ribosomal RNA (400 nucleotides) under uncultured bacterium. RNAcentral's name for it is "bacterial SSU rRNA". It matches the Rfam family "Bacterial small subunit ribosomal RNA", at positions 356 to 773 of the family's 1533-position model. The record is from RNAcentral.